RNAcentral lists this ribosomal RNA (61 nucleotides) under Mentha x villosa. Lineage: Eukaryota; Viridiplantae; Streptophyta; Magnoliopsida; Lamiales; Lamiaceae. The record is from RNAcentral.
GUGCUUGGGCGAGAGUAGUACUAGGAUGGGUGACCCCCUGGGAAGUCCUCGUGUUGCACCC